Molecule: ribosomal RNA, 460 nt
Filed under: uncultured bacterium
Lineage: Bacteria
Description: partial 16S ribosomal RNA
Rfam family: Bacterial small subunit ribosomal RNA
Source: RNAcentral
ACUACGGGGGGCAGCAGUGAGGAAUAUUGGUCAAUGGGCGCGAGCCUGAACCAGCCAAGUCGCGUGAGGGAUGACGGUCCUACGGAUUGUAAACCUCUUUUGCAGGGGAGCAAGCGUGCGUUCGUGAACGCGCGUCGAGAGUACCCGGAGUACAAGCAUCGGCUAACUCCGUGUCUGCAGCCGCGGUAAUACGGAGGAUGCGAGCGUUAUCCGGAUUGAUUGGGUUUGAAGGGUGCGUAGGCGGGAUGCCAAGUCAGCGGUAAAAAUGCGGUGCUCAACGCCGUCAAGCCGUUGAAACUGGCGUUCUAGAGUGGGCGAGAGGUAUGCGGAAUGCGUGGUGUAGCGGUGAAAUGCAUAGAUAUCACGCAGAACUCCGAUUGCGAAGGCAGCAGACCGGCGCCCUACUGACGCUGAGGCACGAAAGCGUGGGUAUCGAACAGGAUUAGAUACCCCUGUAGUC